UGCGUAGACGGUUUCGUAAGUCGGGUGUGAAAUCCCCGGGCUCAACCUGGGAAUUGCAUUCGAGACUGCGAGGCUAGGGUGCGGAAGAGGGAAGCGGAAUUUCCGGUGUAGCGGUGAAAUGCGUAGAUAUCGGAAGGAACAUCAGUGGCGAAAGCGGCUUCCUGGUCCAGCACCGACGUUCAGGCACGAAAGCGUGGGGAGCAAACAGGAUUAGAUACCCUGGUAGUCCACGCCAUAAACGAUGAGAACUAGACGUUGAGAGGGUAAGCCUCCCAGUGUCGCAGCUAACUCGUUAAGUUCUCCGCCUGGGGAGUACGGCCGCAAGGUUGAA
RNAcentral lists this ribosomal RNA (331 nucleotides) under uncultured bacterium. RNAcentral's name for it is "bacterial SSU rRNA". It matches the Rfam family "Bacterial small subunit ribosomal RNA", at positions 568 to 898 of the family's 1533-position model. The record is from RNAcentral.